Pan paniscus (pygmy chimpanzee) is the source of this 561-nucleotide long non-coding RNA. NCBI's taxonomy places the organism in Eukaryota, Metazoa, Chordata, Mammalia, Primates, Hominidae. The record is from Ensembl.
GGUCAUUCUUAAUGUUUGCUUAGCCUCUUGUACUCUGACUUAGUAUUGUGAGUACUAAACCUUAGCCAUAGUAUUAAACCUCCUACUAUUUUUUUUCAUAGUUCCAGAACAAAUAAUUAUUUGCAUUCCUAUUUGAUAGUUCCUAAGAAUCUGGGCGUUGCCAGAUCAUCUUUGAGACAAUUCUGAUUGGCCCCACUAAGAGCAAGCCGCUGUGUAAAAAUAGCAACUGCAGGGAGAUAUUCCCAAGACAAAGUCAGAGCUGCCAAUCAAGUCCAGCCCUGGGCAUCCACUCCACUUCCACAAGAAUUGGCAAGUAACAAACCAAGCAAGAAUUUCAAUGGAAAAUUACAGAGAUACUAACAGGUUUGAGUACUUAUAAAUACAAAAUAAAUAAACGGAGUUAAAUUACUUUAUUAUUACAAUGCAGAAAUGAGGAAGUGUAAUAGCCAGCUAGUCUUGGAAUAUGGCACUGUGAAUGUAAGUACAAUCCAAUAAGAACAGUCAUGAGUUUCAAACAGCAAUUGGGCUCACAUUGCAUUUUCUCCAUAAAAAUUAUUAAAG